AGAUUUUCUAAAUCUGCAUCUACUUUCAGGUUUGUAGCCCCCAGGGUUAAAAUACUUAUGGAAAAAGCGAACAAAGAGAAAGCUUUGACACCCCCAAAAUGUAAAGCAAAUGAACAGUACUGUGUGUGCUAAAAUGAUGUAUUUUCUGGACAAGUCAAGGCAGGAGAAAGCAAUUGCUAUAGCCACUAGACUAGAUGAAACUAUAAAAGAUAAAGAUGUAAAGACAUUAAUAAAGGUUUCUGAAGCACUGCUUGAUGGCAGCUUUGGGAACUGUAGUUCCCAAUAUGAAGAAUAUAGGAUGGCCUGUCAUAACCUGCUUCCUUUUACAUCUGCCUUCUUGCCUGCUGUGAAUGAAGUCGACAAUCCUAUUGUGGCACUGAACCAUACAGCUAAUUAUGAUGUCUUGGCAAAUGAAAUUUGAAAUCUUCUAGAAAGUAGACUCCUAUAGACUCAAAGCUGAAUUGAGAUCAGGGUUUCUUUUCCAGGGUGCAUUUUAAUAUACGUAUGAAAUGAAAUAUUUGGUUAGGAUUUUUAAAUGGCAUAUUCUGUAAGCUUAUUUUGUUCUUUACCCGACCUGCCAAUUUACAUAACCAUCUGUUAAAAUUACCUGUUUAUUCUUAAACAGUUUUGUGGUAGCUCCGAUCGCUUAUGAUAAUUUCUUACUAAGCUAAGUUGUAUACAACCCCACUGUAUUAUUUUCUUUAGAUUCUGAUUUCAGGAUCUGUGCUUUGAUUCCUUGUCUGUUUUAUCGUAUAUUUGCUUGCUUUUUAAUUAAAGCACAUCAGUUUUAAAGUGUUAACUAUAUGUUAAAAACAAUAUGGAGGCUGGGCGUGGUGGCUCACACCUGUAAUCCCAGCACUUUGGGAGGCCCAGACUGGCGGAUCACCUGAGGUCAGGAGAUCGAGAUCAGCCUGGCCAACGUGGUGAAACCCCUUCUCUACUGAAAAUACAAAAAUUAGCCAGACGUGAUGGCACGCACCUGUAAUCCCAGCUGCCC
RNAcentral lists this small RNA (997 nucleotides) under Pan troglodytes (chimpanzee). RNAcentral's name for it is "processed transcript". Lineage: Eukaryota; Metazoa; Chordata; Mammalia; Primates; Hominidae. The record is from RNAcentral.